UACGUAGGGACCAAGCGUUGUUCGGAUUUACUGGGCGUAAAGGGCGCGUAGGCGGCAAAUUAAGUCAUCUGUGAAAUCUCCGAGCUUAACUCCGAAACUGCAUUCGAUACUGCGGUGCUUGAGGACUGGAGAGGAGACUGGAAUUCAUGGUGUAGCAGUGAAAUGCGUAGAGAUCAUGAGGAAGACCAGUGGCGAAGGCGGGUCUCUGGACAGUUCCUGACACUGAGGCACGAAGGCCAGGGGAGCGAACGGG
Molecule: ribosomal RNA, 253 nt
Filed under: uncultured bacterium
Lineage: Bacteria
Description: partial 16S ribosomal RNA
Rfam family: Bacterial small subunit ribosomal RNA
Source: RNAcentral